This 675-nucleotide ribosomal RNA is filed under the name Bacillus pumilus. Its description in RNAcentral is "bacterial SSU rRNA". It matches the Rfam family "Bacterial small subunit ribosomal RNA", at positions 342 to 1008 of the family's 1533-position model. Lineage: Bacteria; Bacillati; Bacillota; Bacilli; Caryophanales; Bacillaceae. The record is from RNAcentral.
CGGGAGGCAGCAGUAGGGAAUCUUCCGCAAUGGACGAAAGUCUGACGGAGCAACGCCGCGUGAGUGAUGAAGGUUUUCGGAUCGUAAAGCUCUGUUGUUAGGGAAGAACAAGUGCAAGAGUAACUGCUUGCACCUUGACGGUACCUAACCAGAAAGCCACGGCUAACUACGUGCCAGCAGCCGCGGUAAUACGUAGGUGGCAAGCGUUGUCCGGAAUUAUUGGGCGUAAAGGGCUCGCAGGCGGUUUCUUAAGUCUGAUGUGAAAGCCCCCGGCUCAACCGGGGAGGGUCAUUGGAAACUGGGAAACUUGAGUGCAGAAGAGGAGAGUGGAAUUCCACGUGUAGCGGUGAAAUGCGUAGAGAUGUGGAGGAACACCAGUGGCGAAGGCGACUCUCUGGUCUGUAACUGACGCUGAGGAGCGAAAGCGUGGGGAGCGAACAGGAUUAGAUACCCUGGUAGUCCACGCCGUAAACGAUGAGUGCUAAGUGUUAGGGGGUUUCCGCCCCUUAGUGCUGCAGCUAACGCAUUAAGCACUCCGCCUGGGGAGUACGGUCGCAAGACUGAAACUCAAAGGAAUUGACGGGGGCCCGCACAAGCGGUGGAGCAUGUGGUUUAAUUCGAAGCAACGCGAAGAACCUUACCAGGUCUUGACAUCCUCUGACAACCCUAGAGAUA